GACGAACGCUGGCUGCGUGCUUAACACAUGCAAGUCGAACGGAAAGGCCCUGCUUUUGUGGGGUGCUCGAUUGGCGAACGGGUGAGUAACACGUGAGUAACCUGCCCUUGACUUUGGGAUAACUUCAGGAAACUGGGGCUAAUACCGGAUAGGAUCUCCUGCUGCAUGGUGGGGGUUGGAAAGUUUCGGCGGUUGGGGAUGGACUCGCGGCUUAUCAGCUUGUUGGUGGGGUAGUGGCUUACCAAGGCUUUGACGGGUAGCCGGCCUGAGAGGGUGAACGGCCACAUUGGGACUGAGAUACGGCCCAGACGCCUACGGGAGGCAGCAGUGGGGAAUAUUGCACAAUGGGCGGAAGCCUGAUGCAGAAACGCCGCGUGCGGGAUGACGGGCUUCGAGUUGUAAACCGAUUUCGCCUGUGACGAAGCGUGAGUGACGGUAAUGGGUAAAGAAGCACCGGCUAACUACGUG
This 468-nucleotide ribosomal RNA is filed under the name uncultured bacterium. Its description in RNAcentral is "partial 16S ribosomal RNA". It matches the Rfam family "Bacterial small subunit ribosomal RNA", at positions 28 to 507 of the family's 1533-position model. The record is from RNAcentral.